Molecule: long non-coding RNA, 259 nt
Organism: Perca fluviatilis (European perch)
Lineage: Eukaryota; Metazoa; Chordata; Actinopteri; Perciformes; Percidae
Exons: 2
Source: RefSeq, a predicted model, not a curated record
AGUGUGCCUGGAGGCAAGUGUGCCAAUCUCAGUAAUGCUAACUGAGCCCUCCCUCGCCUAUUUCCAGCUCCCAUGGGUCUCGUCCUCUCUAUGGGAGCUAUUGUUUCCUCGGGGCUGGUGUUCCCACUCACAAAAGAUGCUCAGCUGGCAGAGAGUCAUUCAGGAUGUAAAAUGGGAUGCAAAUAACAGCUGAUGAGCCAGAUAGACAGACAGGAUGUGUUGCUGUGAAGACCAUUUUACAUUAAACCACUUUACACUC